GGGGAACGGCCCCGCCGAGGGGCGGGCUGAGGGAACCGGGGAGCUCUGAGGGACUGCGGGGAACGAGCUGAGGGACAGGCGGGACGGGUGAAGACGAGCUGAGGGAACCGGGGAGCUCUGAGGGACUGCGGGGAACGAGCUGAGGGACAGGCGGGACGGGUGAAGACGAGCUGAGGGAACCGGGGAGCUCUGAGGGACUGCGGGGAACGAGCUGAGGGAACUGGAACUUGAGCUGAGGGACAGGGAAGGAACGAGCUGAGGGAACUGGAACUUGAAUUGAGGGACAGGGAGGGAAGGAGCUGAGGGAACCGCAAAGGCCGGUCUGGGGCGGACUGAGGGAACCGGGAGAGCUCUGAGGGACAGGGGGGAACGAGCUGAGGGCACCGGGGCGGCUCUGAGGGGUCGGUGCCAGGUGAGGGCUGAGGGGAAGCCCGGCCAAUGCAGGUGCUGAGCCCCAGCUCGUGUGGGUGGGCGAGCAGAGAGGACCGAUACCCUUCCAGUGAGGGAAAACGGAGAGAUUUUGGGGGGACAGUGGAGAAAAUGCUGGAAAAGUAGUUGGAGUGUCCACGGGAGGCAAAAGAGAAGAAACGCUUAAACUCUGUUAGGCUGCAGUGGCAGGAGGAUGGGGUGGUUGUGGUGAAGAUACAUGUGGAGUUUUUCUGUUUGCUUUUAGGUUUCUCACUCCAAGGACAGUGAUGUGGAGGUAUUGGAGGCACUGGAGGGUUGAAAAGGAUGCAGGGAAGAACAAGAACAAAUCGAGGAUCCUUGCUGUGCCUAGGCUCUAGACCUGCUUAAGUGCAUAUGUGUGACCCUCCAUGGUUUUCCUGGCGUCUUCCAGGAGAGAUCCCACGUCCAUUCCUCAGUCCUGAUUUUGUGAGAUCACCUGCAGCACUCAGGGAGUUGAGCGACAAGAAAAGGAUUUCGCAUUCGCGCGUUGCUGGGCUUUGGAAUUUUCUCCCUGGAUUUCAGUUCGUUUUUCGCGUUUGCAAUACCAGGCUGAGCUCGUGCAAGCUGAGCUGCCCCUUCAUUCUUCACUGGCUCCCAUGGGAGCAGGGUGUGGAUUGAGGGUUCUUUUCCCUCCACUCCUUUCAUCCACGAGGUCUAACGGGAGGAAGAGUCAGGUGUCAAUAACUGUCCUCUUCUCCUGUUGAUUUGAUCCAAUGGACUGACAUGCAGGGGAGACUCAGAUGAAAGUUGCAUCUGAGGAGUGUUUGUGCUCAUAGCUGAGGAAACUUCCCAAAGCUGCCUUCCUCAUUAUCCACCAAAGUCCUCCUGCUGUUCCACAUACUAAUUCCAGAGGGUGGAAUUAAUGCUUUCAUAUGGCAAAGGCUAACUGUAACUUGCUUCACACUGAAAACACAGAGGGAGAAGGUAUUUCACUAAACCAUCACCAGUGGACAUCACAACAGGAAGAAAAUGACAACCACGGGGUGCGAUUCCUUCCCCGGCUGAUGCGGCUCUGAGCAUCCAGAGCCAGCCGAAGGCAGCAGCGGUGCAGUCGCUGUGACAGUGCGAGGGCAGAAGCUCUGGACGGUAGAGGAUGCUAGAGAAGAGGGCCAAGCAGCAUCCAGGAGCUUUCUCCUGCUAUCCUGGGAACGUGCUGGGUGUCUCCAUGGGCUGGGAGGAGUAAAAACAGGAUCCACUGGGAAUUUUUAGCACUUUGAGUUGCUGAGAACUGAUGGAAGGCGACGAGCGGGCGAUAAAGUCCCUGUUCCCAGGCAGGUUGUCUUUCCUCCUGUAAUUAAUUCAGCCCCAACCCAAACUGCUGAGGCUCUCGAGGAGUUAAGAUACAACAAUGGUGGCACUUACACUGUUCCAGUGGAUUCUAAAAGGGCUUAUCUUGACUUUUCUGCUGAAAACUACUCUGUCCCUAAAUCCAGAUGAUCCAAAUGUUUGUAGUCAUUGGGAAAGCUAUGCUGUGACAGUGCAGGAAUCUUAUGCUCACCCCUUUGAUCAGAUCUAUUACACACGAUGCACAGACAUCCUCAACUGGUUCAAGUGCACCAGACACAGGAUCAGUUAUAAAACCGCCUAUCGGAGGGGGCUGAGGACGAUGUACCGGCGGAGAUCCCAGUGCUGCCCGGGCUACUACGAGAGCGGAGACUACUGCAUCCCUCUGUGCACGGAGGAGUGUGUGCAUGGGAGGUGUGUCUCUCCUGACACGUGUCACUGUGAACCAGGAUGGGGAGGCACUGAUUGCUCCAGUGGCUGCGACAGCGAGCACUGGGGGCCCCACUGCAGCAACCGCUGCCAGUGCCAGAACGACGCGCUCUGCAACCCCAUCACGGGCGCCUGUGUCUGCGCCGACGGGUUCCGCGGCUGGCGCUGCGAGGAGCUCUGCGAGCCCGGCACCUACGGCAAGGCCUGCCAGCUCCAGUGCCAGUGCCACCACGGGGCCACCUGCGACCACCAGACCGGAGAGUGCCACUGCGCGCCCGGAUACACCGGAGUCUUCUGUGAGGAGCUGUGUCCCCCCGGCAGCCACGGAGCCCAGUGCGAGCUGCGCUGCCCCUGCCAGAACGGGGGCGUCUGUCACCACAUCACCGGGGAGUGCUCCUGUCCCGCGGGAUGGACGGGGCUGGUGUGUGCACAGCCAUGUCCUCCUGGAACCUUUGGAAUCAACUGCAGCCAGGACUGUCCGUGCCACAACGGAGGACACUGUGACCCCGUGACAGGAAAAUGCAUCUGCACAGCUGGCUAUAUAGGAGACAGGUGCCAGGAGGAGUGUCCCAUCGGGACAUAUGGCUUCCAGUGCUCACAAACCUGCGACUGCCAGAACGGGGCCAAGUGCUACCACGUCAAUGGAGCCUGCAUCUGUGACCCCGGCUUUAAAGGGAUUUACUGCCAAGAAAGGAUGUGUCCAGAAGGGUUUUAUGGCCUCAAAUGCAACAAGAGAUGUCCUUGCAAUAUUACCAACACCCUCAGCUGCCACCCCCUGUCUGGAGAGUGCAGCUGCAAGGCUGGCUGGGCUGGGCUCUACUGCAACGAGACGUGUCCCCCGGGGUCCUACGGCGAGGGCUGUGCCCUGGCCUGCCCCUGCCACAACGGGGCCGACUGUGACAGCGUCACCGGGGCCUGCUCCUGUGCCCCCGGCUACAUGGGAGAGGACUGCACCAUUACCUGCAUGGCAGGAACCUACGGAACCAAUUGCUCCUCAGUUUGUAACUGCAAGAACGACGGUGCCUGUUCCCCUGUGGACGGGCUGUGCUACUGCAAAGAAGGCUGGCAAGGAGUGGAUUGCUCUAUUCCAUGUUCAAGUGGAAGUUGGGGUCUGAACUGUAACCAGACGUGUUCCUGCACCAACGGAGCUGCCUGCAGGCCAGCAGACGGCUUCUGCCUCUGCUCCCCGGGAUGGCAGGGGGAGUUCUGUGAGCAGCCCUGCCCUGAUGGAACAUAUGGUCUUAAUUGCAGUGAGCGUUGUGACUGUAACCACGCCGAUGGGUGUGACCCUGUCACUGGGUACUGCUGCUGCCUCGCAGGCUGGACAGGCAUCCACUGUGACAACAUCUGCACCCAGGGCCGCUGGGGCCCCAACUGCUCCAUCUCGUGCAGCUGUGAGAACGGGGGAUCCUGCUCCCCAGAGGAUGGCACCUGCGACUGCGCCCCGGGAUACAGGGGACCCUUGUGCCAGAGAAUUUGCCCCCCUGGUUUUUAUGGACACCACUGUGGCCAGCCCUGCCCCCAGUGUGUGCACAGCAAUGGUCCUUGUCACCACGUGUCGGGACACUGCGACUGCCUGCCUGGAUUCUUUGGCCCUCUCUGCAACCAAGUGUGUCCCAGUGGGAAAUACGGGAAGGACUGUGCCGAGGUGUGUCAGUGCACCGAGAACGGGACGUGCAAUCCCAUCGACGGAUCCUGCCAGUGCUUCCCAGGCUGGAUAGGCAUGGACUGCUCUCAGACCUGUCCCAGUGGGUUUUGGGGCCCUGACUGCUUUCAUUCCUGCAACUGCCACAACGGAGCACUGUGCAGCCCCUACGAUGGAGAGUGUCGAUGUACCCACGGCUGGACGGGGCUCUUCUGCACUCAGCGUUGCCCAGCUGCUUUUUAUGGAAAGAACUGUGCCAACGUGUGUCAGUGUCAGAACGGAGCCGACUGUGACCACAUCACCGGGCAGUGCACGUGCAGGACUGGAUUUACAGGCAAACAGUGCGAGCAGAAGUGCUCACCAGGAACGUUUGGUUAUGGUUGCAAACAACUUUGUGAGUGCAUGAAUAAUGCUACAUGUGACCAUGUCACAGGGACCUGCUACUGCAGCCCAGGCUUCAAAGGAAUCCGGUGUGAUCAAGCGGCUCUUAUGAUGGAAGAAUUAAACCCCUAUACUAAAAUUAGCCCUGCUCUUGGAUCAGAGAGGCACUCAGUGGGAGCAAUCAUUGGAAUUAUUAUUCUCCUUCUAAUUAUUAUGGUCUUGCUGGCACUGUUUGUGUGGUAUCGACGGAAACAGAAGGAGAAGGGCCAUGACAUGCCAAGUGUAUCUUACACUCCAGCCAUGAGGAUGACUAAUACAGAUUACUCACUUUCUGAUGUAUCUCAAGGUAGCGGCAGUGUACACUGCUUUUCCAAUCCCAGCUACCACACUCUCUCAUGUGGUGUGACCUCACGCUUCUUUCCCAGUAAUCUGGAUGGAAACAGCUCCAGUAAGCUCAGUAACAAAGUCCUUGACAGAGAAACUGCAGACUGGAGACCCUACAGCUAUCUGAAUGAACUAGGUGCUUGUGGGAUGGAUAGACGUCAGAACACAUACAUAAUGGAAAAAAGCUUCAAAGACAGCGGGGGCAGCUGGGAUUGCAGCUAUUUUGCAAGUCCCACUAUUUCACCGGGAGUAUUUCAUAUAUACCAGGAUCUGCCUUUGUACUGUAACCCAGCACAAGAAAAUGCCUCAUCUUUCAUUGCAUCGCUCUAAUUCUAAAUUACUGGCACUGCCCAGCAGGAUGCACACGGCAGCAAUGAUUAUAUGAAAGAGUCUGUGUGCAGCUCCAGCACUUGUUCCCUGAACAGCAGUGAAAACCCCUACGCCACCAUUAAAGACCCCCCCAUUUUAACCUGCAAACACUCCGAGAGCAGCUACGUGGAAAUGAAAUCGCCUGGUCACAGGGAGUCCCCGUAUUCCGAAAUGCCAACUUCAUCCACAGCCAAUAAAAACAUCUACGAAGUUGAGCCCACUGUCAGCAUAGUCCAAGAUGGCCGCAGUCGGAGUGCCAGUUACCUCCAGAAUCCAUACGACCUUCCCAGGAACAGCCACAUUCCUGGGCACUACGACCUCCUCCCCGUCCGGCACAGCCCGACACACGGGCCCUCUUGGGACAAGCAGUCUUAAAGGGAUGGACUCCACUGUGCUGCCAACACAAACUGAGGAAGCAGAGGAGAAGCCAAUCCUUUUCCACGCUGUGGGAUGCUGACGGAUGUGGACUGGCUUACGCAAGGACCUGACGUGACACAACAUCAGCUUGGGCCAACUGCUGCUGCAUGAUGUUAUUUAUAAAGACAUUUUUAUAUGGGUAACUGGAACUAACAGAACCUCCUCCACGUGUGGCUGGAGUACAUCACCCCAGGAAGGUGUCCACGUGCUCCAGGCAAAAACUCUCCGUGGCUUGUAUUCUAACCCUGGCUUUGCUGUAAAAUAAACCACAAACACAUGCUAAGUAGAAGGACUUAAAGAUGUACAUUUUUACCAACUGCAUCAAGAAAUCUUUUACCUUUAGGAACAAGGUGACUGGGAAUGCACUGGAAUUGAUUUUCAUCUUUGUCAUGGGAAUGGACAUUUUUCUGAACGAGAGCAGGGAAACUUGUCAUUUCACUGUCAGGACACCUCAUUUACUGCCACCACCAUGUGCAGCCUGUGCAGAUCAUGCUCGGUAAUUAGCACUGGGAUUUUCAUCUUUACACUCAGUACCAGAGGGUUUGAGUUGAGGAAUAUUAACACAGACACCUUCUGUGCCGUUUUUUAAAUCUUUCCAAAAGUCCCCUGAUCUUUGCUAAUGACCAUUUCCACAAUGAGCCUCCCACCCACUUUACCACACUUCUGAUUGGCACAGAUGGGCUUUAAUUUUCCUUAUACAGCUUCUCUUUUGUUGGCUAAAUCCAGCAGAUCUGUCAGGCCUGUAACCUGCUGCACCUCCCUUUCCUGCCCUGGGACACUGCAGGUCUGCACAGACCAGCCCUGGUUUCAUUUCCUUUCCCAAAGCUGAGCCACAACAGCUUCUCUCUCCCAUCUUUUCAAACCAUCUCCUCAUGGUUCACUUGUCAGCAUGCCACUGAUGACCCCCUUUAAUUUGAUGGGCAUUACCAUGUAGUGCAACGUUAUCCUUUGGUGAUUCUACCUGAAAUGUCAUUAAAUGGAGCUGAAACUGGGUUUUCUUUUUCA
Lepidothrix coronata (blue-crowned manakin) is the source of this 6361-nucleotide RNA transcript. It is a transcript of the gene named multiple EGF like domains 11, with no coding region annotated. The transcript is spliced from 32 exons. Lineage: Eukaryota; Metazoa; Chordata; Aves; Passeriformes; Pipridae. The record is from RefSeq and is a predicted model, not a curated record.